Molecule: ribosomal RNA, 250 nt
Filed under: uncultured bacterium
Lineage: Bacteria
Description: partial 16S ribosomal RNA
Rfam family: Bacterial small subunit ribosomal RNA
Source: RNAcentral
GGACGAAUCUUCCGCAAUGGGCGAAAGCCUGACGGAGCAAUGCCGCGUGUGGGAUGAAUCGGCUUCGCCGUGUAAACCACUGUCAGGUCCCAGGAACACUGACCGGGACCAGAGGAAGGGCCGGCUAAACUCGUGCCAGCAGCCGCGGUAAGACGAGUGGCCCAAGCGUUAAUCGGAAUUACUGGGCUUAAAGCGUGCGUAGGCGGAUGCGCAAGCGUCCUGUGAAAGCCCCCGGCUCAACCGGGGAACA